Molecule: ribosomal RNA, 465 nt
Filed under: uncultured bacterium
Lineage: Bacteria
Description: partial 16S ribosomal RNA
Rfam family: Bacterial small subunit ribosomal RNA
Source: RNAcentral
GACGAACGCUGGCGGCGUGCUUAACACAUGCAAGUCGAACGGAAAGGCCCUGCUUGCAGGGUACUCGAGUGGCGAACGGGUGAGUAACACGUGGGUGAUCUGCCCUGCACUUCGGGAUAAGCCUGGGAAACUGGGUCUAAUACCGGAUAGGAGCCAUUUUUAGUGUGAUGGUUGGAAAGUUUUUUCGGUGUAGGAUGAGCUCGCGGCCUAUCAGCUUGUUGGUGGGGUAAUGGCCUACCAAGGCGGCGACGGGUAGUCGGCCUGAGAGGGUGGACGGCCACAUUGGGACUGAGAUACGGCCCAGACUCCUACGGGAGGCAGCAGUGGGGAAUAUUGCACAAUGGGCGCAAGCCUGAUGCAGCGACGCCGCGUGGGGGAUGACGGCCUUCGGGUUGUAAACUCCUUUCGCUAGGGACGAAGCUUUUUGUGACGGUACCUAGAUAAGAAGCACCGGCUAACUACGUG